RNAcentral lists this ribosomal RNA (497 nucleotides) under uncultured bacterium. RNAcentral's name for it is "partial 16S ribosomal RNA". It matches the Rfam family "Bacterial small subunit ribosomal RNA", at positions 28 to 507 of the family's 1533-position model. The record is from RNAcentral.
GAUGAACGCUGGCGGCGUGCCUAAUACAUGCAAGUCGAGCGAACAGAUAAGGAGCUUGCUCCUUUGACGUUAGCGGCGGACGGGUGAGUAACACGUGGGUAACCUACCUAUAAGACUGGGAUAACUUCGGGAAACCGGAGCUAACACCGGAUAAUAUUUCGAACCGCAUGGUUCGAUAGUGAAAGAUGGUUUUGCUAUCACUUAUAGAUGGACCCGGGCCGUAUUAGCUAGUUGGUAAGGUAACGGCUUACCAAGGCGACGAUACGUAGCCGAGCUGAGAGGGGGAUCGGCCACACUGGAACUGAGACACGGUCCAGACGCCUACGGGAGGCAGCAGUAGGGAAUGUGCCGCAGUGGGCGAAAGCCUGACGGAACAACGCCGCGUGAGUGAUGAAGGUCUUCGGAUCGUAAAACUCUGUUAUGAGGGAAGAACAGACGUGGAAGGAACUGUGCACGUCUUGACGGUACCUAAUCAGAAAGCCACGGCUAACUACGUG